GCGUGUGAGUGGUGAUUGGAUGGAAUGGCUUUGCAGGCUCCUUGCUUGUGCAUCGAAUUGGAAGCUCUUCGUCCUCUUCACAGUCAUCCCCAAGCAUGUCUCAUGUUUUGAGGGUGCGUUCGAUAUCCUGUGUUUGCUACCAAUACAAAGGUAUUCGGUGAUUUUCGUUGCUACAUUCGCUCGGUGCCUGGUAUGGUGUUGGGUGGACAAUAGGUUGGCCCCAUGCUCCUAGUAUGCCUUGCAACAUUGUUUGGCUGCGAAGGUGCACGGGGUUAUGCCUGUUCUUUUGGAUGCUGAUCGCUAUGUGUGUUGACGAGGGGUCUUGCCCCAUCUCGUUUGCUCUACGCACUUGUCCCUUAACACGAACGACCACCACACCUUUUUUGGCUCAAGAGCAUUAGUUCUUUGAGGCUCCAUGAAGGUGUCGGUGUCGUGAAGGAAUGC
RNAcentral lists this unclassified non-coding RNA (444 nucleotides) under Diplopeltis stuartii. RNAcentral's name for it is "partial external transcribed spacer". The record is from RNAcentral. Lineage: Eukaryota; Viridiplantae; Streptophyta; Magnoliopsida; Sapindales; Sapindaceae.